This 450-nucleotide ribosomal RNA is filed under the name uncultured bacterium. RNAcentral's name for it is "partial 16S ribosomal RNA". It matches the Rfam family "Bacterial small subunit ribosomal RNA", at positions 354 to 796 of the family's 1533-position model. The record is from RNAcentral.
GUGGGGAAUUUUGGACAAUGGGCGCAAGCCUGAUCCAGCAAUGCCGCGUGCAGGAAGAAGGCCUUCGGGUUGUAAACUGCUUUUGUACGGAACGAAACGGUCCGGGUUAAUACCCUGGGCUAAUGACGGUACCGUAAGAAUAAGCACCGGCUAACUACGUGCCAGCAGCCGCGGUAAUACGUAGGGUGCAAGCGUUAAUCGGAAUUACUGGGCGUAAAGCGUGCGCAGGCGGUUUUGUAAGACAGGCGUGAAGUCCCCGGGCUCAACCUGGGAAUUGCGCUUGUGACUGCAAGGCUGGAGUGCGGCAGAGGGGGAUGGAAUUCCGCGUGUAGCAGUGAAAUGCGUAGAUAUGCGGAGGAACACCGAUGGCGAAGGCAAUCCCCUGGGCCUGCACUGACGCUCAUGCACGAAAGCGUGGGGAGCAAACAGGAUUAGAUACCCUGGUAGUCC